GCACAGCCGAGGAGUCCCACAAUAGGACGAAACGGCUGUACAGUGC
RNAcentral lists this non-coding RNA (46 nucleotides) under Schistosoma mattheei. The record is from RNAcentral. Lineage: Eukaryota; Metazoa; Platyhelminthes; Trematoda; Strigeidida; Schistosomatidae.